Molecule: long non-coding RNA, 971 nt
Organism: Daphnia pulicaria
Lineage: Eukaryota; Metazoa; Arthropoda; Branchiopoda; Diplostraca; Daphniidae
Exons: 6
Source: RefSeq, a predicted model, not a curated record
AACACAUCGAUCAACAUGGGGUCCGAAUCCAACCAAUCAACAAAGCAGCAUAAAAGUUGGUCAACCCAUUGUUCAAGUUCUAUAAAGACAGAGCCUAUUAGCCUACACAUUUGCCCCAGCCACUGUGAUCUCGCUCCCAACAAAAGAAUGUGGUGUUUUGAAAUAAAUCAAACAGGUGGGAACUGGCAAGGAGCAGCUGAGUCCAGUCAGUCCACACAGACUUUUUGACCCAUGGCAUGAAGCUUGAUUUUCCGAAGGUAGUGUAAAAAAGACAUGCAAGACCUUACUGGAGUAAAUACCAUUGAAGUGUGCAGUCUUGUCUUGUUAAUCCAAUUAUGCUUACGGUGAAAAUGGAAGUCCACCUAAAAAUUCCUUUCAAAUGCCAAUUGCUGAUGUUUGAGGUUGAAAGAUAGAAGAUCUCACCAAAGGAAGUGAUGGAGGAAUUAUAAAUCAAACCUUAAAGUCAUUCAAAUCCUAUAAUGAAAAGGUGCUUGUUGCUGAAGUUUUACUGCUCGGUCGACACGGAGACACGGUAUUUGAUGAUCAACUUGAGUUAAGCUUCAACCUUGGAGAAGAUUUAGAACACAACAUUCCCAACGGUGUUGAAUAGGCUCUGUUGAAAUUCAAGAAGCAAGAUUGAAGCUUGCUUAAGUUGACACCUGCAUACGGUUUCGGCUCUGCCGGUUACGAGAAACAAGGUGUUUCCCAACGUCAACCUCGAAUGUUGAACUCGAGUCAAGAGCUUUGAAAAGGCCAAAGAGAGUUGGAGCAUGGACGCCGAAGAAAAAGCUGGAGCAGGCUAAACUCUGCAAAGGAAAAGGAAUCAAUCAUUUUAAAACUACCAAAUACGCUCUGGCUAACAAACAGUAGGCCUACUCCAAGAUUGUCACCCUCCUCGAGUUUGAAUAAACUCUUAAAGACGAGAAAGCUACUGAGCGAGAACAGCUCAUGCUGGCAGCUUAUCUCAAUCA